RNAcentral lists this ribosomal RNA (1032 nucleotides) under Triticum aestivum (bread wheat). RNAcentral's name for it is "partial small subunit ribosomal RNA". The record is from RNAcentral. Lineage: Eukaryota; Viridiplantae; Streptophyta; Magnoliopsida; Poales; Poaceae.
AUGGAGAUGCCGGGAGGGAGCGGCGGGGCCGGCGCGCUGGCCAGGCAGGGGUCGAUCUACUCGCUGACGUUCGACGAGUUCCAGAGCGCGCUCGGCGGCGCCGGCAAGGACUUCGGGUCCAUGAACAUGGACGAGCUGCUCCGCAACAUCUGGACGGCCGAGGAGUCCAACGCCAUCGCGGCCACCCUGACGCCGGCCACCACGGCCGCCCCGGCGUCCAAUGUCGACGCCCUGCCCCAGCCGCCGCCGCUGCAGCCGCAGCAGCAGGCCAUCCUGCGCCAGGGCUCCAUGACGCUGCCCCGCACGCUCAGCCAGAUGACGGUCGACGAGGUCUGGCGCGACAUCAUGGGCUUCUGCGACGAGGAGCCGCCGGCGCCCCCCGCGCCGGCGCCGGCCCAGGCUCAGGCUCAGGCUCAGGCGGAGGCCCAGGCGCAGCGGCAGCAGACCCUGGGGCGGAUGACGCUGGAGGAGUUCCUGGUGCGCGCCGGCGUGGUGCGGGAGGACAUGGGGGGCCAGACCGUUGUCGUGCCGGCGCGGGCGCAGGCUCUGUUCCCUCAGGGCAAUGUGGUCGCGCCGGCCAUGCAGGUGGCGAACGGGGUGGUGCACGGAGUCGUCGGGCAGGGGCCUGGCGUGGCGAUGACGGUGGCGGCGCCGACGACGCCGGGCGUGCUGAACGGGUUCGGCAAGAUGGAGGGCGGGGAUCUCUCGUCGCUGUCGCCGGUGCCGUAUCCCUUCGACACCGUGACGAGGGCCAGGAAGGGGCCUACCGUCGAGAAGGUGGUCGAGAGGAGGCAGAGGCGCAUGAUCAAGAACCGGGAGUCCGCCGCCAGGUCCCGCCAGAGGAAGCAGGCUUAUAUAAUGGAGUUGGAAGCCGAGGUUGCAAAACUGAAGGAGAACAAUGAGGCAUUGCAGAAAAAACAGGUGGAAAUGCUACAGAAGCAAAAGGAUGAGGUUAUAGAGAGGAUCGAAAAGCAGCUUGGACCAAAGGCAAAGAGGUUUUGCUUGCAACGAACGCUGACCGGUCCGUGGUAG